UCACACGCAAACGCCACAAGCCGCCGUAGAAACUUCGAUAUCUCUUGAUGAACACGUGUGUUUCGUGCAACGAGUCAUAUGCCCAGCACUUCACGGUCAUCCCAAUUAUUGUUAUUUGCCAUUGAUCGUUAUGAUACGAAGGCUAAGGUCUUAGAAAAUUCAUCGUUUACAUAUCGUUCGCGAAUAUCGAGUUUCUAUGACUUGACGCUCGUACGGGAUGAUGAAGGAUGAUGAAUGAUCGUGGAGCGCCUGUACAAGUCCAGCGCGCGCGAUUCUCUUUCGGCGAAUCGUCUCGAAUAUAUGGAUCUGUCCACCAUUAAUAUCUGGAUAUUUUUCAAAGAAAAGAUAGACUUUUCAUUUCUACAAUUUACUCCGAUAAACGAGACCUUACUAGAGAAGAGAAAGGCAACGUGUGAAACAUGAACGACGAAACAGAGGUGCGAAACAGAGCUGCGUAAAGACGAAUAUAGACGACGCGGCGAACCUUAAUCCAGCACUGCUGCCUGCAUUCUCGAACCACGGUAAA
Formica exsecta is the source of this 526-nucleotide long non-coding RNA. RefSeq lists it as uncharacterized. The transcript is spliced from 3 exons. The record is from RefSeq and is a predicted model, not a curated record. NCBI's taxonomy places the organism in Eukaryota, Metazoa, Arthropoda, Insecta, Hymenoptera, Formicidae.